CGCAUCUGUGCAUGCAGCAUAUCAAUAAGCGGAGGAAAAGAAACUAACAAGGAUUCCCCUAGUAACGGCGAGUGAAGCGGGAAGAGCUCAAAUUUGAAAUCUUAAAGGGUUUCCCUUUACGAAUUGUAGUUUAAAGAAGUGUUUUUCUGUUGAGGUUUUUGGUAAAAGUUCUUUGGAAUAGGACAUCAUAGAGGGUGAGAAUCCCGUAUUUGACCUUUACUUUCAACUUUGUGAUACACUUUCAAAGAGUCGGAUUGUUUGGGAAUGCAGUCCAAAAUGGGUGGUAAAUUUCAUCUAAAGCUAAGUAUUGGCGAGAGACCGAUAGCGAACAAGUACCGUGAGGGAAAGAUGAAAAGAACUUUGAAAAGAGAGUUAAACAGUACGUGAAAUUGUCAAAAGGGAAGCGUUUGACACCAGUGUUGUUUUUUCUGAAAAUCAAUUAAAGAACUGUUUAUGCUAAGUUGUUUAGACUUUAUCAGCUAAUCUGUUUAGUUUUGAGCUUUUCUUUAAUGCACUUUUCAGUUAACAAGUCAACAUCAAUUUCUUUUGCUGUAAAAAAGCUUGAGGAAGGUGGCUUGAGAUUCGUCUUAAGUGUUUAUAGCCUCUUGCCUAUGCAGUCGGAGAGAUUGAGGUCUGCAGCGUAGAUCCUUCGGGGCUAAAUGCAUUUGUGCUAAGUUAUAGCAUUUUAUAGACAACUUGUUGGACUAUGAUUUGUCUUGUAGCUUACUCGCUUAUGUUAUUUUACCUACGCUUAGGAUGUUGAGUAGCGACAUACGCAC
Molecule: ribosomal RNA, 779 nt
Filed under: uncultured Neocallimastigales
Lineage: Eukaryota; Fungi; Neocallimastigomycota; Neocallimastigomycetes; Neocallimastigales
Description: partial large subunit ribosomal RNA
Rfam family: Eukaryotic large subunit ribosomal RNA
Source: RNAcentral